GUUAAAUUUCCAAGCGGAGGGUUAAUCCCAAAUCAAUUCCACGCUCUCUUGCUAACCCAGUUGGGCUCUUCAAUUAGACCGAUUCACUGAAGCUAUCCUUCUCUGAUAUUUGGAGUGAUGUGAGUGUUUCAGUUCAAAAUUCUCCCUUUUGGUGCCGAUUCAUCCUAGUGUUUCGCUGGUUGCUGUUCAAUUUAUUCAUGCAUUUAUUUGUUGUUGUUUUUUCAUCUUUUUGCAUUUUAUUUUUAGCGUUUCUACAAAGUUAUAGUAAUUUGUCGCUUGAAAAGGUUCCUAUAAUGUUAUGCCCUCUGCUUGCAGUAUCAGCGUUGAUUCUGUGUACAUUUCUUCUUCAAUCGCUGGACGUUUAAUCUAUUAUUUAUUUUUGUUUGCAUUUGAAGCCGAAUUGCAUGGCUUUGUCUAGGUUUAUCUCUAUAAUUUCACAUUUUAUGCACCCAAAUUUUAGAAAUUUUUAAUCUGGGUUUGGAUAUUUAGUUUAUGGGCUUAGGGUUUUUGAUAUAUGUAAGAUGACAAGUAACUUCGUUUCCCUAUAGUGAGAACUCUGCAUUGAAAAUUCAGGAGAUAUUCCAUUUGACAAACCAAUUUGGGUAUUUAGAUCUUAGCUGUUGAAGCUGCACGAGCAAUACCUUAUAAGUGAUGAGAAUUGAGAUAUGAUUUUCUUUCUUUUUCUCUUUAUUUUUGUAGUGAGUUUGUUCUUGUUUCCUAUUGGAAAGAUGAGUUGUUUGCACAUUCUUUUGUUCGAUUCUUUUCUCUUUUUGAUGUGGGAUUUUGAGUUUCACGUGUCAAGUUUUGUUUUUCAGGGUUCAAGGAAAGUCUUUGAUUUUGGAGAUUGUUUUUUAAAGGUUGGUGAUUAAAUAGUUGUGAAUUUGUUUUCCCACUGCCACUUCUAUGCAUAUGUAAUCUUAAGAUUUGUUAUCUUUAUUGAUAACUGAUGACAAUUAAUAACAAUGGUGAAUGAUAUGUUUUAUGAGUUUCUUUUACGAUUUAUUCCAUGAAUUAGUGUGUGAGAAAUUGUAUCUAUAAUUUAUUUAUUUAUUUUGUUGUUUUUAUAAUCUUGAAUUUUCUUAGUUCUUACAGAUUUUUAAAAUAUUUUUGGAUCUGAUUUCGGGUAUCCAACCCAUUUGAGCUAUUUUUUUUAUUAAAUUUCCAGCUGAUAAAAACAAAAGGGUAUGGAAUAGUAUGUGGAUAGUGGUAAUCAGAUUUAAUAUAUACAGGUAAUAAGAAAUAAAUUAUAAUAGGGUUUGGGUUUGCCUAGUUCAAAUUCAUGGGUAGCCUACCGAGUGUCAUUCUGUGCCCACUCAGUACUCUCGUGUGUGUCUCACCAGUCCUCCCUCUCAGCUCUCUCUACCUCACUCGUUCAUCCUCUCACCGCUAUAAGUAUCAACCCAAUUGCAGUCUUGCCUGUCUGUCCGGUAUGUCACUUGAUUCUAUUUUUCUUUUUCUUUUCAAUUUAAUUCUAAUUUCCUGAUGUUUCUUUUAUGUUGAUUCAAUGGGUAUGUGCCUUUUAUUUUUAAUUAAGCUCCAGGGGGGAAAUGGAUUUUCCAUAUUUCAAUAUUGCUUUUGAUUGAAGCUUAUUCAACCUUAUUGUGCCUACUUGAUCAUGAUAAAAAAUCUGUCCGAAGAGCUCAUAGAGGCUGCUCUUGAACUGGGUUUUGGUUCAUUUUGUUAUUGAAUUUUUCAAUUUUAUUUACACUACAUACUUGCAUGUAUGAACGAAAUGAAAUUUACUAUAAUUGAUUAAAUAUAAACCACUAAACUUGUUUGGCUGUAUAACCAUUGGCAGAGAGCUAAAACCCUCACUCAGAAAUAUCUGACUCAUCAGAUAGGAACCAAUGGCUCUAUGGAGAGCUCGUGCAGCUUCAUCACCUCUCUUGAAGAGGCUUUUGCAACCUGCUUCUUUCCCCUCUAUCAACAACGCUUUUUGCAGUUUCUCCACUGGUAUGCUUACUUUGUUUCGCACUGUUCUUAAUUUCCGCUUACAAUUUCUAUAAUAUCUUCUUAUUAAUUUGAAUUGUACGGAAAAUUUGUGUUUGUCAAAAAGGGAAACCUGGAUCUGUUUGAUUAACUUUCUACGAUCAUUUUAGUGAGGAAAAGGGUUUUGGAUUGGGGAGUUUCUUAUUUGUCAGUAGAGGAAACAGAGAUAAUGCAUGAAAAAGGCAAAAAAAAAAAUCAAUAAUACAAGUUGGUUAACCACAAAUGUAAUUGAUAUAUUGUAAUGAAAAAUGCAAGAAUGAUAAAUAAGAAUUAUAUUCCAUUAUUCUCUGUUACAGUAUACGUUUUACUACAGACUCACUAAUGUUUCUUUUAUUUUAGAAUGAGUAGUUUAAUGUCGAAUUCAUUUGCUGUUUAAUUGCUGGAAAACUAGGGAAAAAUUUUUUGAAGCUUGUUAUUUUUUUUAUGUUUUCUUAAUGAGUUAGUAGUUAGAAAAGUAUUAAACUUUGCAUGUUUUUUCUAUCAUGAUCUAUUCCUUUAACUUUAUCAAUUUGGUUAAUAAAUGAGAUUAAGUUUCAAUAGUGUCUACCAAAUCUCAAGGCAAAUAUAGACAUAAAUAGCUAAUUUGAGUAUGCCUCUCUGAGCCAUAAGAACUAUGAAACCAUGACUUUUGCAAAAUUCUUCCCCUCGUAGAGUUCUUGAAAAUGCCUUUUGGAAUUCAUAUUUUGCAAAAUGUUAUCAUCUGGUGGCACUUUUAAAUAUAAGAACCCAGUUCAUUCAACCUAGAGAAGUCAAUCUCCGUGCGGCAUUAACACAAGCACAGGCUGUUCAUUUGAUGCGAGUGAAACAAAAUCAAUAAAAUGUGAACGGAAAUUGAUAAAAUUAAAGUAUAUGAUACAAUUGAAAAAAACAAGUAUAGUUCAUGGCGUUAUUUGAAAAAGGAGAAGAAAUUUAGC
This 2903-nucleotide unclassified non-coding RNA is filed under the name Hevea brasiliensis (rubber tree). Lineage: Eukaryota; Viridiplantae; Streptophyta; Magnoliopsida; Malpighiales; Euphorbiaceae. The record is from RNAcentral.